GUGGUUCCAUACCAUAGUUUUAAACUAGAUGGGAGAAGACAUAGAAAGGGAUGCACCUCCAGGAUUUCUAAAAACAAAAUAAAAUGAAAAACAAAAACAAAAACAAACAGGUUCUGUGAAACAGAAUUUGUAGUAAGAUUUUCCUAUUUUUUUAUUGCUAUGGAAAUUUAAUAUUGCAGACUAACUCCUUAGCAUCCAGAACCUGAAAACCACUGAUGCAAACUGCUGCUCACUGUCUUACUUUGUUUUUGAAAGGCAAAAGCGUUAAGAGGAAGACUAAUAGAACUACUGAAAUCUUUUAAGAAUGCGGAAAGUUGGGUCAGCAAUGCAGCAUAUUUCCGAAAGGGAUAGAAACAAAAGGAGAACAAAAUGGACAUAAAAACAGUAAAGGGAAGCAUCACAGUAACUACAGCUAUAGCAGAGAUGUCAUUUUCAGCAACAAAAUGGAUUACUGUAAGUGAGAUAACCAGACCCAGAGGCAGUUGGAAGAGAUUCUAAGCAGGCAGAACACCUUACAUGAUCUAAUUAACCUGAUCUGAUAACACUCUUGGGUUACACACUUAACUGUCUGAGGCUAAUCAAACACUGUUGGUAGUUGGGAUGUCCUGUUCCUUCCUGCUGUCGGAGUUCUUCUGUAUGCCACCAGUGGAGACUUCUUCUUAAGACGCGGAAGACUUGUUGCCCUCCACCUGAAGGAAGCAGUAAGAGUAAAAGCCGACUAAGACUGAAUGCUAAAAAGGAGAACAUUUUCAGCAAUAACAUAAUCCAAAGAACUGUCCUUUCUUCCUCCACCCUGAUUAUGGCUGAAUGUGCUAAGCUGCUCGUCUUUGCUGAGCUUCUUAGUGCAUACAAGGUAAGCUAAGAUGUAUCAGAUUGUAUCAGUGGGGGGGACUUUUAAAGCUAGCCCGUAGCCCUAUUACUUCUUUUCUGUGACCUUAUUUAAAAGUGGGGACAAUUACAGACUGGUCUUUUGUGUGGCUUUGAUGGCAAAAGUCAAUGUUGUUGUCUAUAAAGUUUAAGCCUUAUUAAAUGUCAUAUAAUCUCAACUGAGACACCGUGAUAUUUAUGGUUCAGUUGUUCAUGUUUCAGAACAGAUCAUUGGAGGUUGCUUUGGGAAUUUCUGUGGUCACAGUCUUCAGAUUUAGAAGAACACAAACCUGAUGUGCAUUCCACCACUGACUGUAAUGCACCUGCGGCACUCAUGAUAUUCGAAGAGAAGGGCAUCUAUUAUACAGAUAUCAGAUGGCAAUAACAAUUCCCAGACUUUAAUUUGAGGAGGCAGAUGGCCUUGGACUUAGUAAGGAGCUAGCACAACUGCUCUUGCGACAGAAUAUUGGUUAAGAUUCAAAAACUGUUAAACUUAUCCUCGUUCUGAUUCAUAGCUAGCCAUUUUGAUGUGGGUAAAUCAUUUGUUAGGGUGACUGUGGUGGAGGCUUGAGUUGUCCUGAGAUGUUUAUUUCUUGACUGUGGUCAUUGGAAAUGUGCCUGAAAUAACUGUAUUUUGCAAAAAGUGGGUAUCCAAACUGUGUUGGAGGAUAUAUGAAGGCAACAGAAGGUCAC
This is a long non-coding RNA of Anser brachyrhynchus (Pink-footed goose), 1560 nucleotides long. The record is from Ensembl. NCBI's taxonomy places the organism in Eukaryota, Metazoa, Chordata, Aves, Anseriformes, Anatidae.